Molecule: ribosomal RNA, 460 nt
Filed under: uncultured bacterium
Lineage: Bacteria
Description: partial 16S ribosomal RNA
Rfam family: Bacterial small subunit ribosomal RNA
Source: RNAcentral
CCUACGGGUGGCAACAGUGAGGAAUAUUGGUCAAUGGACGAGAGUCUGAACCAGCCAAGUAGCGUGAAGGAUGACUGCCCUAUGGGUUGUAAACUUCUUUUAUAUAGGAAUAAAACAAGGUAUGCAUGCCUUCUUGUAUGUACUAUAUGAAUAAGGAUCGGCUAACUCCGUGCCAGCAGCCGCGGUAAUACGGAGGAUCCGAGCGUUAUCCGGAUUUAUUGGGUUUAAAGGGAGCGUAGGUGGAUUGUUAAGUCAGUUGUGAAAGUUUGCGGCUCAACCGUAAAAUUGCAGUUGAAACUGGCAGGCUUGAGUACAGUAGAGGUGGGCGGAAUUCGUGGUGUAGCGGUGAAAUGCUUAGAUAUCACGAAGAACUCCGAUUGCGAAGGCAGCUCACUAGACUGCAACUGACACUGAUGCUCGAAAGUGUGGGUAUCAAACAGGAUUAGAUACCCUUGUAGUC